This 253-nucleotide ribosomal RNA is filed under the name uncultured bacterium. RNAcentral describes it as "partial 16S ribosomal RNA". It matches the Rfam family "Bacterial small subunit ribosomal RNA", at positions 524 to 776 of the family's 1533-position model. The record is from RNAcentral.
GACGAACCGUGCGAACGUUGUUCGGAUUCACUGGGCUUAAAGGGCGCGUAGGCGGGCGCGCAAGUCAGGGGUGAAAUCCUCCAGCUUAACUGGAGAACAGCCUCUGAUACUGCGGGUCUGGAGGAAGGUAGGGGCAUGUGGACCUAAUGGUGGAGCGGUGAAAUGCGUAGAUAUCAUUAGGAACGCCGGUGGCGAAAGCGACGUGCUGGACCUUUUCUGACGCUGAUGCGCGAAAGCCAGGGGAGCAAACGGG